RNAcentral lists this ribosomal RNA (734 nucleotides) under uncultured Acinetobacter sp. Its description in RNAcentral is "bacterial SSU rRNA". It matches the Rfam family "Bacterial small subunit ribosomal RNA", at positions 74 to 804 of the family's 1533-position model. The record is from RNAcentral. Lineage: Bacteria; Pseudomonadati; Pseudomonadota; Gammaproteobacteria; Moraxellales; Moraxellaceae.
AGGUGCUUGCACCUUAUCUUAGCGGCGGACGGGUGAGUAAUGCUUAGGAAUCUGCCUAUUAGUGGGGGACAACAUUCCGAAAGGAAUGCUAAUACCGCAUACGUCCUACGGGAGAAAGCAGGGGAUCUUCGGACCUUGCGCUAAUAGAUGAGCCUAAGUCGGAUUAGCUAGUUGGUGGGGUAAAGGCCUACCAAGGCGACGAUCUGUAGCGGGUCUGAGAGGAUGAUCCGCCACACUGGGACUGAGACACGGCCCAGACUCCUACGGGAGGCAGCAGUGGGGAAUAUUGGACAAUGGGGGGAACCCUGAUCCAGCCAUGCCGCGUGUGUGAAGAAGGCCUUAUGGUUGUAAAGCACUUUAAGCGAGGAGGAGGCUACUGAGACUAAUACUCUUGGAUAGUGGACGUUACUCGCAGAAUAAGCACCGGCUAACUCUGUGCCAGCAGCCGCGGUAAUACAGAGGGUGCGAGCGUUAAUCGGAUUUACUGGGCGUAAACCGUGCGUAGGCGGCUUUUUAAGUCGGAUGUGAAAUCCCCGAGCUUAACUUGGGAAUUGCAUUCGAUACUGGGAAGCUAGAGUAUGGGAGAGGAUGGUAGAAUUCCAGGUGUAGCGGUGAAAUGCGUAGAGAUCUGGAGGAAUACCGAUGGCGAAGGCAGCCAUCUGGCCUAAUACUGACGCUGAGGUACAAAGCAUGGGGAGCAAACAGGAUUAGAUACCCUGGUAGUCCAUGCCGUA